RNAcentral lists this ribosomal RNA (253 nucleotides) under uncultured bacterium. Its description in RNAcentral is "partial 16S ribosomal RNA". It matches the Rfam family "Bacterial small subunit ribosomal RNA", at positions 524 to 776 of the family's 1533-position model. The record is from RNAcentral.
UACGUAGGGGGCUAGCGUUGUCCGGAUUUAUUGGGCGUAAAGAGCGUGUAGGCGGCCAGGUAGGUCUGCUGUGAAAACUCGAGGCUCAACCUCGAGACGUCGGCGGAAACCAUCUGGCUAGAGUCCGGAAGAGGAGAGUGGAAUUCCUGGUGUAGCGGUGAAAUGCGCAGAUAUCAGGAAGAACACCCGUGGCGAAGGCGGCUCUCUGGGACGGAACUGACGCUGAGGCGCGAAAGCGUGGGGAGCGAACAGG